Molecule: ribosomal RNA, 253 nt
Filed under: uncultured bacterium
Lineage: Bacteria
Description: partial 16S ribosomal RNA
Rfam family: Bacterial small subunit ribosomal RNA
Source: RNAcentral
GACGUAGGGUGCAAGCGUUGUCCGGAAUCAUUGGGCGUAAAGAGUUCGUAGGCGGUUUCUCAAGUCUGGUGUUAAAUACGGGAGCUCAACUCCCGCAUGGCAUUGGAAACUGGGUGACUAGAGUGUGGUAGAGGUUACGGGAAUUCCUGGUGUAGCGGUGAAAUGCGUAGAUAUCAGGAGGAACACCGGUGGCGAAGGCGGCAUCCUGGACCGACAUUGACGCUGAGGCGCGAAAGCCAGGGGAGCAAACGGG